GACGAACGCUGGCGGCGUGCUUAACACAUGCAAGUCGAACGGAAAGGCCCUGCUUUUGUGGGGUGCUCGAGUGGCGAACGGGUGAGUAACACGUGAGUAACCUGCCCUUGACUUUGGGAUAACUUCAGGAAACUGGGGCUAAUACCGGAUAGGAGCUCCUGCUGCAUGGUGGGGGUUGGAAAGUUUCGGCGGUUGGGGAUGGACUCGCGGCUUAUCAGCUUGUUGGUGGGGUAGUGGCUUACCAAGGCUUUAACGGGUAGCCGGCCUGAGAGGGUGACCGGCCACAUUGGGACUGAGAUACGGCCCAGACUCCUACGGGAGGCAGCAGUGGGGAAUAUUGCACAUUGGGCGGAAGCCUGAUGCAGCAACGCCGCGUGCGGGAUGACGGCCUUCGGGUUGUAAACCGCUUUCGCCUGUGACGAAGCGUGAGUGACGGUAAUGGGUAAAGAAGCACCGGCUAACUACGUG
Molecule: ribosomal RNA, 468 nt
Filed under: uncultured bacterium
Lineage: Bacteria
Description: partial 16S ribosomal RNA
Rfam family: Bacterial small subunit ribosomal RNA
Source: RNAcentral